UUAAAGGGAGCAGCAUCAGCUGAUGUUCUGC
This 31-nucleotide non-coding RNA is filed under the name Homo sapiens (human). The record is from RNAcentral. Lineage: Eukaryota; Metazoa; Chordata; Mammalia; Primates; Hominidae.